CGUGCGGCACUAUACAUGCAGUCGAGCGGACAGAUGGGAGCUUGCUCCCUGAUGUUAGCGGCGGACGGGUGAGUAACACGUGGGUAACCUGCCUGUAAGACUGGGAUAACUCCGGGAAACCGGGGCUAAUACCGGAUGGUUGUUUGAACCGCAUGGUUCAAACAUAAAAGGUGGCUUCGGCUACCACUUACAGAUGGACCCGCGGCGCAUUAGCUAGUUGGUGAGGUAAUGGCUCACCAAGGCAACGAUGCGUAGCCGACCUGAGAGGGUGAUCGGCCACACUGGGACUGAGACACGGCCCAGACUCCUACGGGAGGCAGCAGUAGGGAAUCUUCCGCAAUGGACGAAAGUCUGACGGAGCAACGCCGCGUGAGUGAUGAAGGUUUUCGGAUCGUAAAGCUCUGUUGUUAGGGAAGAACAAGUACCGUUCGAAUAGGGCGGUACCUUGACGGUACCUAACCAGAAAGCCACGGCUAACUACGUGCCAGCAGCCGCGGUAAUACGUAGGUGGCAAGCGUUGUCCGGAAUUAUUGGGCGUAAAGGGCUCGCAGGCGGUUUCUUAAGUCUGAUGUGAAAGCCCCCGGCUCAACCGGGGAGGGUCAUUGGAAACUGGGGAACUUGAGUGCAGAAGAGGAGAGUGGAAUUCCACGUGUAGCGGUGAAAUGCGUAGAGAUGUGGAGGAACACCAGUGGCGAAGGCGACUCUCUGGUCUGUAACUGACGCUGAGGAGCGAAAGCGUGGGGAGCGAACAGGAUUAGAUACCCUGGUAGUCCACGCCGUAAACGAUGAGUGCUAAGUGUUAGGGGUUUCCGCCCCUUAGUGCUGCAGCUAACGCAUUAAGCACUCCGCCUGGGGAGUACGGUCGCAAGACUGAAACUCAAAGGAAUUGACGGGGGCCCGCACAAGCGGUGGAGCAUGUGGUUUAGUUCGAGCAACGCGAAGAACCUUACCAGUCUUGACAUCCUCUGACAUCCUAGAGAUAGGACGUCCCGUUCGGGGCAG
This 1002-nucleotide ribosomal RNA is filed under the name Bacillus tequilensis. RNAcentral describes it as "bacterial SSU rRNA". It matches the Rfam family "Bacterial small subunit ribosomal RNA", at positions 40 to 1029 of the family's 1533-position model. Lineage: Bacteria; Bacillati; Bacillota; Bacilli; Caryophanales; Bacillaceae. The record is from RNAcentral.